GCAGCAGUGGGGAAUAUUGCGCAAUGGGGGAAACCCUGACGCAGCAACGCCGCGUGAGUGAGGAAGGCCCUAGGGUCGUAAAGCUCUGUCAGAUGGGAAGAACGGUUAAGGGUUUAAUAGGCCUUUAAUUUGACGGUACCAUCAGAGGAAGCCCCGGCUAAUUUCGUGCCAGCAGCCGCGGUAAUACGAAGGGUGCAAGCGUUUUUGGGAUUUACUGGGGGUAAAGCGCGCGCAGGGGGAUUGAUAAGUCAGAUGUGAAAUCUCGGGGCUCAACCCCGAAACUGCGUCUGAAACUAUCAAUCUAGAGUUAUGGAGGGGGAAGUGGAAUUUCGCAUGUAGGGGUAAAAUCSGUAGAGAUGSGAAGGAACACCAGAGGGGAAGGGGACUUCCUGGCCAUAUACUGACGCUGAGGCGCGAAAGCGUGGGGAGCAAACAGGAUUAGAUACCCUGGUAGUCCACGCCGUAAACGAUGUGCACUAGAUUUGGGGGGUUUGACCCCUUCCGAGUCGCAGCUAACGC
This 519-nucleotide ribosomal RNA is filed under the name uncultured bacterium. Its description in RNAcentral is "bacterial SSU rRNA". It matches the Rfam family "Bacterial small subunit ribosomal RNA", at positions 348 to 858 of the family's 1533-position model. The record is from RNAcentral.